GAAUCGCUAGUAAUCGUGGAUCAGAAUGCCACGGUGAAUACGUUCCCGGGCCUUGUCACACCGCCCGUCACACCAUGGGAGUGGACUGCACCAGAAGUGGUUAGCCUAACGCAAGAGGGCGAUCACCACGGUGUGGUUCAUGACUGGGGUGAAGUCGUAACAAGGUAGCCGUAGGGGAACCUGCGGCUGGAUCACCUCCUU
RNAcentral lists this ribosomal RNA (201 nucleotides) under Halomonas sp. KJ-5-1-1. RNAcentral describes it as "partial 16S ribosomal RNA". It matches the Rfam family "Bacterial small subunit ribosomal RNA", at positions 1329 to 1532 of the family's 1533-position model. Lineage: Bacteria; Pseudomonadati; Pseudomonadota; Gammaproteobacteria; Oceanospirillales; Halomonadaceae. The record is from RNAcentral.